This 70-nucleotide transfer RNA is filed under the name Loxodonta africana (African savanna elephant). It matches the Rfam family "tRNA". From Rfam's summary of the family: Transfer RNA (tRNA) molecules are approximately 80 nucleotides in length. Their secondary structure includes four short double-helical elements and three loops (D, anti-codon, and T loops). Further hydrogen bonds mediate the characteristic L-shaped molecular structure. tRNAs have two regions of fundamental functional importance: the anti-codon, which is responsible for specific mRNA codon recognition, and the 3' end, to which the tRNAs corresponding amino acid is attached (by aminoacyl-tRNA synthetases). tRNAs cope with the degeneracy of the genetic code in two manners: having more than one tRNA (with a specific anti-codon) for a particular amino acid; and 'wobble' base-pairing, i.e. permitting non-standard base-pairing at the 3rd anti-codon position. The record is from Rfam by way of RNAcentral. Lineage: Eukaryota; Metazoa; Chordata; Mammalia; Proboscidea; Elephantidae.
ACACUGGUGGCUCAAUGGUUAAGUGUUCGACUCCUAAUCAAAAGGUCAGUGGUUCAAACCCACCAGUGGU